CAGUAGCCACGGGAAUACGGAGGGUGCAAGCGUUGUUCGGAAUUACUGGGCGUAAAGCGCGCGUAGGCGGCUUUUUAAGUCAGAGGUGAAAGCCCGGGGCUCAACCCCGGAAUUGCCUUUAAGACUGCCGAGCUAGCAGGUGAGAGAGGUAAGUGGAAUUCCGAGUGUAGAGGUGAAAUUCGUAGAUAUUCGGAAGAACACCAGUGGCGAAGGCGGCUUACUGGCUCAUACUGGACGCUGAGGUGCGAAAGCGUGGGGAGCAAACAGGAUUAGAUACCCGCGUAGUCCCUGUCUCUUAUAC
This 301-nucleotide ribosomal RNA is filed under the name uncultured bacterium. RNAcentral describes it as "partial 16S ribosomal RNA". It matches the Rfam family "Bacterial small subunit ribosomal RNA", at positions 509 to 807 of the family's 1533-position model. The record is from RNAcentral.